CUUUCUUUGCUGGCGACCGGCGCACGGGUGAGUAACACGUAUCCAACCUGCCCUUUACUCGGGGAUAGCCUUUCGAAAGAAAGAUUAAUACCCGAUAGCAUAAUGAUUCCGCAUGGUUUCAUUAUUAAAGGAUUCCGGUAAAGGAUGGGGAUGCGUUCCAUUAGGUUGUUGGUGAGGUAACGGCCCACCAAGCCUUCGAUGGAUAGGGGUUCUGAGAGGAAGGUCCCCCACAUUGGUACUGAGACACGGACCAA
This 254-nucleotide ribosomal RNA is filed under the name uncultured bacterium. RNAcentral describes it as "partial 16S ribosomal RNA". It matches the Rfam family "Bacterial small subunit ribosomal RNA", at positions 79 to 334 of the family's 1533-position model. The record is from RNAcentral.